Molecule: ribosomal RNA, 874 nt
Filed under: uncultured Rubrobacteraceae bacterium
Lineage: Bacteria; Bacillati; Actinomycetota; Rubrobacteria; Rubrobacterales; Rubrobacteraceae
Description: bacterial SSU rRNA
Rfam family: Bacterial small subunit ribosomal RNA
Source: RNAcentral
UGCAAGUGGAGCGACGAACCGGGGCUUGCCCCGGGGCAGAGCCGCGAACGGGUGAGUAACACGUGGGUAACCCACCUCGAUGACCGGGACAACCCGAGGAAACUCGGGCUAAUACCGGAUGUGAUCCUCUUCCGUAAGGAAGUUUGAUGAAAGAUAGCUUUGGCUUUCGCAUCGAGACGGGCCCGCGGCCCAUUAGCUUGUUGGUGGGGUAACGGCCUACCAAGGCUUCGAUGGGUAGCUGGUCUGAGAGGACGAUCAGCCACACUGGGACUGAGACACGGCCCAGACUCCUACGGGAGGCAGCAGUGGGGAAUCUUGCGCAAUGCGCGAAAGCGUGACGCAGCAACGCCGCGUGGGGGAAGACGGCCUUCGGGUUGUAAACCCCUUUCAGUUGGGACGAAGCUUCAACGGUGAAUAGCCGGCUGGAGUGACGGUACCUUCAGAAGAAGCCCCGGCUAACUACGUGCCAGCAGCCGCGGUAAUACGUAGGGGGCAAGCGUUGUCCGGAAUCAUUGGGCGUAAAGAGCGUGUAGGCGGUUCCGUAAGUCUGCUGUGAAAGUCCAAGGCUCAACCUUGGGAUGCCGGUGGAUACUGCGGAGCUAGAGUACGGAAGAGGCGAGUGGAAUUCCCGGUGUAGCGGUGAAGUGCGCAGAUAUCGGGAGGAACACCAAUUGCGAAGGCAGCUCGCUGGGACGUCACUGACGCUGAGACGCGAAAGCGUGGGGAGCAAACAGGAUUAGAUACCCUGGUAGUCCACGCCGUAAACGAUGGGCACUAGAUGUGGGGGGUGUCGACUCCCUCCGUGUCGAAGCUAACGCAUUAAGUGCCCCGCCUGGGGAGUACGGCCGCAAGGCUAAAACUCAAAGGAAUUGAC